CCCAGUUGCUGGUGGCGGUGGUGCAGGUCAGAGCACAGGGCCUGUGCUCAGCCACAGGGUUCUCACUGUCACAGAGGAGCCUCCAGGAUGUGGGCUGCACGAACGUAGUGGACGGCAGACCUACUGGAAGCAGGAGAGGGUGAGGGAUGGCCGCACCCUGGACAGAGGGAGACACGGAGCGGAUGACAGCAGGCUCCUUACCACCGCCAGUGGUAGAAGAGAACCAAAGAACAAUCAAGGCUCCAUGGCACCAGGUAAUGCCCACUUUGUGCGGGGUCAACCUCCAAGUAAACUCAGUGGAUUACAGGUAAGGAUAACCUCACAGAAAAUACUGCUGUCGUAAGUACUUUUAAGUCCCCUUUUUUAACACUCCCUCUCCUUACAAAAAGCACUGGUGAUGACAUGUACCCAGGACAUUUAAACACAGAAGUGAAUGAACCCUUGGGACUGGAGAGGAGGAGGGGCACGCGGGUGCCUGAGCUGUCACCACCUUCCUGCGGUCACUCUAGCUCGCCCUGUGGUCCGGGCAGAUGAACAGAUCCUUACUUUAAACCCUAGUGGUUUCCACCUUAAAUAACCCAAGGGAAACACCCACAGGCCAGGUCCAUUAGCAAAGGUGUGCUCCUCACGAACAUGGAGAGGAGCAAGGACGGGCAUUUCAGAAAACAGCAGCAGACAACCCUCACGGCGACCUGCUGACCUGUGGGGACUGCGGCAGGAGGGGACGCCAGGAUGCCACCUCUCACCUCAGCAGCAUCUGCAGCUCUGCCUCCCGCGCCCGCUCCAGCUCCAGCUGCUCCUCAAUGACCCGCUUCAUCCAGGCCACGUCGGCCAGGGCCUGCUCCCGCCGGGCCUGGUGCACACGCCGGUUCUCGUCCUCCUCCUCUAACAGCGCCUGCAGGAUGCGCUUGUCCGCCUCCUAGAGGACAGACGAGGAAGCGCAGUUACCGCAGUUUCCAGUUGGAAAGACAUCACCAUGUGAGUACCCAUGGAAAUCAUCACAUUUCCAUGCAAGUGUCCAUGCCGGCCAGUCACCCUCCCCCAGGUCCCUGAGUCAGUCACAUCUCCCGGCAGCAGGUGGCCCUCCAACCCUAAGGGAAGGCGCUCACCGCACAGUUACCUCCGCUGGUAGGAGGCCCUGGAGCUCCACUCUGCCUGUUUAGAGCUGCAGAUGUCAGACACCUGGAAGUAGCGGCUGU
Long non-coding RNA from Dama dama (fallow deer), 1199 nucleotides. RefSeq lists it as uncharacterized. The transcript is spliced from 4 exons. The record is from RefSeq and is a predicted model, not a curated record. Lineage: Eukaryota; Metazoa; Chordata; Mammalia; Artiodactyla; Cervidae.